RNAcentral lists this ribosomal RNA (438 nucleotides) under uncultured bacterium. RNAcentral's name for it is "bacterial SSU rRNA". It matches the Rfam family "Bacterial small subunit ribosomal RNA", at positions 28 to 479 of the family's 1533-position model. The record is from RNAcentral.
GACGAACGCUGGCGGCGCGCCUAACACAUGCAAGUCGAACGAGCGAGAGAGAGCUUGCUUUCUCGAGCGAGUGGCGAACGGGUGAGUAACGCGUGAGGAAUCUGCCUCAAAGAGGGGGACAACAGUUGGAAACGACUGCUAAUACCGCAUAAGCCCACGGUGCCGCAUGGCACAGAGGGAAAAGGAGUAAUCCGCUUUGAGAUGGCCUCGCGUCCGAUUAGCUAGUUGGUGAGGUAACGGCCCACCAAGGCGACGAUCGGUAGCCGGACUGAGAGGUUGAACGGCCACAUUGGGACUGAGACACGGCCCAGACUCCUACGGGAGGCAGCAGUGGGGAAUAUUGCACAAUGGGGGAAACCCUGAUGCAGCGACGCCGCGUGGAGGAAGAAGGUCUUCGGAUUGUAAACUCCUGUUGUUGGGGAAGAUAAUGACGGUACC